AUGAAGUUGGAGUUGAACAUGUUUA
This 25-nucleotide non-coding RNA is filed under the name Cricetulus griseus (Chinese hamster). The record is from RNAcentral. Lineage: Eukaryota; Metazoa; Chordata; Mammalia; Rodentia; Cricetidae.